GCCACAUGAUGUCAUUUAGAUUGCAUUAGCGCUCUUUUGUGCUGAGAUGACCUCCUAUCUAUCACCCUAGACUGAUGGCU
Molecule: small nucleolar RNA, 80 nt
Organism: Silurus meridionalis
Lineage: Eukaryota; Metazoa; Chordata; Actinopteri; Siluriformes; Siluridae
Product: small nucleolar RNA SNORD83
Exons: 1
Source: RefSeq, a predicted model, not a curated record